GAUAAAGCGGGUGAAAAGCCCGCUCGCCGGAAGACCAAGGGUUCCUGUCCAACGUUAAUCGGGGCAGGGUGAGUCGACCCCUAAGGCGAGGCCGAAAGGCGUAGUCGAUGGGAAACAGGUUAAUAUUCCUGUACUUGGUGUUACUGCGAAGGGGGGACGGAGAAGGCUAUGUUAGCCGGGCGACGGUUGUCCCGGUUUAAGCAUGUAGGCUGGUUAUCCAGGCAAAUCCGGAUAACCAAGGCUGAGGUGUGAUGACGAGGCACUACGGUGCUGAAGUAACAAAUGCCCUGCUUCCAGGAAAAGCCUCUAAGCAUCAGGUAACAUCAAAUCGUACCCCAAACCGACACAGGUGGUCAGGUAGAGAAUACCAAGGCGCUUGAGAGAACUCGGGUGAAGGAACUAGGCAAAAUGGUGCCGUAACUUCGGGAGAAGGCACGCUGGUGUGUAGGUGAAGUCCCUGCGGAUGGAGCUGAGACCAGUCGAAGAUACCAGCUGGCUGCAACUGUUUAUUAAAAACACAGCACUGUGCAAACACGAAAGUGGACGUAUACGGUGUGACGCCUGCCCGGUGCCGGAAGGUUAAUUGAUGGGGUUAUCCGUAAGGAGAAGCUCUUGAUCGAAGCCCCGGUAAACGGCGGCCGUAACUAUAACGGUCCUAAGGUAGCGAAAUUCCUUGUCGGGUAAGUUCCGACCUGCACGAAUGGCGUAAUGAUGGCCAGGCUGUCUCCACCCGAGACUCAGUGAAAUUGAACUCGCUGUGAAGAUGCAGUGUACCCGCGGCAAGACGGAAAGACCCCGUGAACCUUUACUAUAGCUUGACACUGAACAUUGAGCCUUGAUGUGUAGGAUAGGUGGGAGGCUUUGAAGCGUGGACGCCAGUCUGCGUGGAGCCAACCUUGAAAUACCACCCUUUAAUGUUUGAUGUUCUAACGUUGGCCCCUUACCGGGGUUGCGGACAGUGUCUGGUGGGUAGUUUGACUGGGGCGGUCUCCUCCCAAAGCGUAACGGAGGAGCACGAAGGUUAGCUAAUCCUGGUCGGACAUCAGGAGGUUAGUGCAAUGGCAUAAGCUAGCUUGACUGCGAGCGUGACGGCGCGAGCAGGUGCGAAAGCAGGUCAUAGUGAUCCGGUGGUUCUGAAUGGAAGGGCCAUCGCUCAACGGAUAAAAGGUACUCCGGGGAUAACAGGCUGAUACCGCCCAAGAGUUCAUAUCGACGGCGGUGUUUGGCACCUCGAUGUCGGCUCAUCACAUCCUGGGGCUGAAGUAGGUCCCAAGGGUAUGGCUGUUCGCCAUUUAAAGUGGUACGCGAGCUGGGUUUAGAACGUCGUGAGACAGUUCGGUCCCUAUCUGCCGUGGGCGCUGGAGAAUUGAGGGGGGCUGCUCCUAGUACGAGAGGACCGGAGUGGACGCAUCACUGGUGUUCGGGUUGUCAUGCCAAUGGCACUGCCCGGUAGCUAAAUGCGGAAGAGAUAAGUGCUGAAAGCAUCUAAGCACGAAACUUGCCCCGAGAUGAGUUCUCCCUGAGACUUUAAGUCUCCUGAAGGAACGUUGAAGACGACGACGUUGAUAGGCCGGGUGUGUAAGCGCAGCGAUGCGUUGAGCUAACCGGUACUAAUGAACCGUGAGGCUUAACCUU
This 1635-nucleotide ribosomal RNA is filed under the name Klebsiella pneumoniae. Its description in RNAcentral is "bacterial LSU rRNA". It matches the Rfam family "Bacterial large subunit ribosomal RNA", at positions 1311 to 2925 of the family's 2925-position model. Lineage: Bacteria; Pseudomonadati; Pseudomonadota; Gammaproteobacteria; Enterobacterales; Enterobacteriaceae. The record is from RNAcentral.